UAUAUCUCCUUGCUUUCUUCUAAUCAGUAUCAUAGGCUUGACCCACGUACUGAAGCAGAUCCAGGAACUUAUCUGUGAAUUCAUCAACACUCAUCUCGUCUGUCUGUCUCAACUGUUCAAAUUCAAUUACUUUCAUCUCCCUCGAACUGUCAGGAAAAGCCCACCCUGCAAACUCAUUGGCGAACUCUCCCCAUGACAUGCUGUCCAUUCUAGGCUCCACAUAAUUCUUAAACCAUUCUCUGGCUUUCUUGCAUUUAAAUGUGAAACCUGCCAUCUCAAUGGCUCUCCUAUC
RNAcentral lists this long non-coding RNA (292 nucleotides) under Manihot esculenta (cassava). RNAcentral describes it as "long non-coding RNA (MESC_LNC012691)". The record is from RNAcentral. Lineage: Eukaryota; Viridiplantae; Streptophyta; Magnoliopsida; Malpighiales; Euphorbiaceae.